UUAAAGGCUGUGGCUUAACCAUAGUACGCUUUGGAAACUGUUUAACUUGAGUGCAGAAGGGGAGAGUGGAAUUCCAUGUGUAGCGGUGAAAUGCGUAGAUAUAUGGAGGAACACCGGUGGCGAAAGCGGCUCUCUGGUCUGUAACUGACGCUGAGGCUCGAAAGCGUGGGGAGCAAACAGGAUUAGAUACCCUGGUAGUCCACGCCGUAAACGAUGAGUGCUAAGUGUUAGGGGGUUUCCGCCCCUUAGUGCUGCAGCUAACGCAUUAAGCACUCCGCCUGGGGAGUACGACCGCAAGGUGAAACUCAAAGGAAUGACGGC
Molecule: ribosomal RNA, 321 nt
Filed under: uncultured bacterium
Lineage: Bacteria
Description: bacterial SSU rRNA
Rfam family: Bacterial small subunit ribosomal RNA
Source: RNAcentral